This 126-nucleotide transfer RNA is filed under the name Zymoseptoria brevis. It matches the Rfam family "tRNA". Rfam says of the family: Transfer RNA (tRNA) molecules are approximately 80 nucleotides in length. Lineage: Eukaryota; Fungi; Ascomycota; Dothideomycetes; Mycosphaerellales; Mycosphaerellaceae. The record is from Rfam by way of RNAcentral.
GGCCGGCUGGCUCAAUGGUAGAGUGCUUGACUACGAAUCAAGAGGCUGCAGGGUAAGCAUAGAACCUGCAAAUUGAUAUCUCAUUCCAUUGACUAAUUUCCCUCAGUUCGAGCCCUGCGUCGGUCA